This 499-nucleotide ribosomal RNA is filed under the name uncultured bacterium. RNAcentral describes it as "partial 16S ribosomal RNA". It matches the Rfam family "Bacterial small subunit ribosomal RNA", at positions 28 to 507 of the family's 1533-position model. The record is from RNAcentral.
GACGAACGCUGGCGGCGUGCCUAAUACAUGCAAGUCGAGCGAAGAUAUUCUGGUGCUUGCACUGGAACGAUUGAGCGGGGAGGGGGAGAGACACAUGUAAAGCACAUGUCUUAUAGACUGGGACAUCUAGUGGAAAGGAUCGAUAAUACCGGAUAAUAGCAUAACGUGCGUGGCUGUAGUUAAAAAGUGGUUUGCGCUAACAUUAUGAUGUGGCUUUGCGGCGCAUUAGAUAGUUGGUGGGGUAAAGGCCUACCAAGGCAACGAUGCAUAGCCGACCUGAGAGGGUGAUCGGCCACACUGGAACUGAGACACGGUCCAGACUCCUACGGGAGGCAGCAGUAGGGAAUCUUCCGCAAUGGGCGAAAGCCUGACGGAGCAACGCCGCGUGAGUGAAGAAGGAUUUCGGUUCGUAAAGCUCUGUUGUUAGGGAAGAACGAUUGUGUAGUAACUAAUCACCGUAGUGACGGUACCUAAUCAGAAAGCCACGGCUAACUACGUG